CCUACGGGAGGCAGCAGUCGGGAAUCUUGCGCAAUGGGCGAAAGCCUGACGCAGCAACACCGUGUGGGCGACGAAGGCCUUCGGGUUGUAAACCGCUUUCAGGAGGGACGAAGCCACUCGGGUUAAUAGCCCAGAGGGUGACGGUACCUCCAGAAGAAGCCCCGGCUAACUACGUGCCAGCAGCCGCGGUAAUACGUAGGGGGCGAGCGUUGUCCGGAAUUAUUGGGCGUAAAGAGCGUGUAGGCGGUUCGGUAAGUCUGCCGUGAAAACCUGGGGCUCAACCCCGGGCGUGCGGUGGAUACUGCCGGGCUAGAGGGUGGUAGAGGCGAGUGGAAUUCCCGGUGUAGCGGUGAAAUGCGCAGAUAUCGGGAAGAACACCCGUGGCGAAGGCGGUUCUCUGGGACGGUACUGACGCUGAGACGCGAAAGCGUGGGGAGCGAACAGGAUUAGAUACCCUGGUACUCCACGCCGGAAACGAUGGGUGCUACGUGUGGGCGUUGUCGACUCCGUCCGUGCCGAAACUAACGUAUUAAGCACGCCGGCUGGUGAGUACGUCCGACAGGUUAAAACCGACAGGAUUUUUCGGAGGCC
This 591-nucleotide ribosomal RNA is filed under the name uncultured bacterium. Its description in RNAcentral is "bacterial SSU rRNA". It matches the Rfam family "Bacterial small subunit ribosomal RNA", at positions 338 to 921 of the family's 1533-position model. The record is from RNAcentral.